GUGAGGAAUAUUGGUCAAUGGGCGGGAGCCUGAACCAGCCAAGUCGCGUGAAGGAAGAAGGAUCUAUGGUUCGUAAACUUCUUUUGCAGGGGAAUAAAGUGCAGGACGUGUCCUGUUUUGUAUGUACCCUGAGAAUAAGGAUCGGCUAACUCCGUGCCAGCAGCCGCGGUAAUACGGAGGAUCCGAGCGUUAUUCGGAUUUAUUGGGUUUAAAGGGUGCGUAGGUGGUUUGAUAAGUCAGCGGUGAAAGUUUGCAGCUUAACUGUAAAAAUGCCGUUGAAACUGUCGGACUUGAGUGUAAAUGAGGUAGGCGGAAUGCGUGGUGUAGCGGUGAAAUGCAUAGAUAUCACGCAGAACUCCGAUUGCGAAGGCAGCUUACUAAGCUACAACUGACACUGAAGCACGAAAGCGUGGGGAGCGAACAGGAUUAGAAACCCCGGUAGUCC
Molecule: ribosomal RNA, 445 nt
Filed under: uncultured bacterium
Lineage: Bacteria
Description: partial 16S ribosomal RNA
Rfam family: Bacterial small subunit ribosomal RNA
Source: RNAcentral